Molecule: ribosomal RNA, 496 nt
Filed under: uncultured bacterium
Lineage: Bacteria
Description: partial 16S ribosomal RNA
Rfam family: Bacterial small subunit ribosomal RNA
Source: RNAcentral
AUGAACGCUGGCGGCGUGCCUCAUACAUGCCAGUCGAGCGCACAGACGAGGAGCUUGCUCCUCUGACGUUAGCGGCGGACGGGUGAGUAACACGUGGAUAACCUACCUAUAAGACUGGGAUAACUUCGGGAAACCGGAGCUAAUACCGGAUAAUAUAUUGAACCGCAUGGUUCAAUAGUGAAAGACGGUUUUGUUGUCACUUAUAGAUGGAUCCGCGCCGCAUUAGCUAGUUGGUAAGGUAACGGCUUACCAAGGCGACGAUGCGUAGCCGACCUGAGAGGGUGAUCGGCCACACUGGAACUGAGACACGGUCCAGACUCCUACGGGAGGCAGCAGUAGGGAAUCUUCCGCAAUGGGCGAAAGCCUGACGGAGCAACGCCGCGUGAGUGAUGAAGGUCUUCGGAUCGUAAAACUCUGUUAUUAGGGAAGAACAAAUGUGUAAGUAACUAUGCACGUCUUGACGGUACCUAAUCAGAAAGCCACGGCUAACUACGUG